This 402-nucleotide ribosomal RNA is filed under the name uncultured soil bacterium. RNAcentral describes it as "bacterial SSU rRNA". It matches the Rfam family "Bacterial small subunit ribosomal RNA", at positions 26 to 481 of the family's 1533-position model. The record is from RNAcentral.
AGAACGAACGCUGGCGGCAUGCCUAAUACAUGCAAGUCGAACGAACUCUUCGGAGUUAGUGGCGCACGGGUGCGUAACGCGUGGGAAUCUGCCCUUGGGUUCGGAAUAACAGUUGGAAACGACUGCUAAUACCGGAUGAUGACGAAAGUCCAAAGAUUUAUCGCCCAGGGAUGAGCCCGCGUAGGAUUAGCUAGUUGGUGAGGUAAAGGCUCACCAAGGCGACGAUCCUUAGCUGGUCUGAGAGGAUGAUCAGCCACACUGGGACUGAGACACGGCCCAGACUCCUACGGGAGCAGCAGUAGGGAAUAUGGACAAUGGGCGAAAGCCUGAUCCAGCAAUGCGCGUGAGUGAUGAAGCCUUAGGUUGUAAAGCUCUUUACCGAGAUGAUAAUGACAGUAUCGG